CGGCCCUACGGGUUGUAAACUGCUUUUAUACGGGAAUAAACCUUGAUACGUGUAUCAAGCUGAAUGUACUGUAAGAAUAAGGAUCGGCUAACUCCGUGC
This 99-nucleotide ribosomal RNA is filed under the name uncultured bacterium. RNAcentral describes it as "partial 16S ribosomal RNA". The record is from RNAcentral.